RNAcentral lists this ribosomal RNA (253 nucleotides) under uncultured bacterium. Its description in RNAcentral is "partial 16S ribosomal RNA". It matches the Rfam family "Bacterial small subunit ribosomal RNA", at positions 524 to 776 of the family's 1533-position model. The record is from RNAcentral.
UACGUAGGGUGCAAGCGUUAAUCGGAAUUACUGGGCGUAAAGAGCUCGUAGGCGGUUUGUUGCGUCGGCUGUGAAAUCCCGAGGCUCAACCUCGGGUCUGCAGUCGAUACGAGCAAACUAGAGUGUUGCAGGGGAGACUGGAAUUCCUGGUGUAGCGGUGAAAUGCGCAGAUAUCAGGAGGAACACCGGUGGCGAAGGCGGGUCUCUGGGCAACAACUGACGCUGAGGAGCGAAAGCGUGGGGAGCGAACAGG